GGCUUGUGUCUAUGUCAGUGUUUAGAAAGUGAUAUACAUACAUGAAUGUAUAUGAUGCAAUAUAUGCCAUACAUACAUAUAUUUGUGUGAAGUCAUAAUAAGUUUCUGGAUGUCAAACAAAAUGGAAAUUGAGUUUUCUAAGAAGGUAAUGUUACUCAUCUUUGGUUCUUACCAUUGCUUCCUUUCUUCUCAAUGUUCAGGGAUUUCAAAUCCUGAGAAAAAUCAAUGAAUAAAUCAGGAAAAAGUUCCAUAAUUCUCUUGCAAGCAUGAAAGCUUAACAAUCAACAAGGAAAUGUCACUGGCUCAAAGAAUCCACUGAUGUCAAGUCAAAAAGCAAGUUGAACAUCCCUAGUUCCUUCAAAGCAUCUUCUAGGGCAUGGACUAAAGACCUGUCGCCAUCCUGGAUGCCCUCUGCUGGACAGUCUUUAGAUUCUCAAAGGGAUGCUAGGAUGUCUAGAGACAAUGGCAGAGAUGGAAGAACAUUUGCUUCCAGUGCUUCGCACAAUAUUGGGAACAUAAUAAGUCCUUAAUAAAUAUGUGUUUUGAGGAACAGGAAAUGAAACAAAGGGGAAAAUGAAGAAAGAAGGAAAAGAAAAAGAGUACAGUGAGAACUAAGCUACUCUGAGAAUGUGCUAAAAGCUAUUGCAUGCGAAGAUAUAAAUGAAAUUAAAAAACAUCAAUAGUCCUUUCCAGGAGGAAUGGAAAUAAUAUCUCUGUAAUUUCAUGGUAUAGAAUGUUUUGAUCUCACAUUUGGGGGAAGUGAUUAAAGUCAUCAAAAGAAGAAACAGUUACUU
This 794-nucleotide long non-coding RNA is filed under the name Monodelphis domestica (gray short-tailed opossum). RNAcentral describes it as "lncRNA (ENSMODG00000035349.2)". Lineage: Eukaryota; Metazoa; Chordata; Mammalia; Didelphimorphia; Didelphidae. The record is from RNAcentral.